Acanthopagrus latus (yellowfin seabream) is the source of this 797-nucleotide long non-coding RNA. RefSeq lists it as uncharacterized. Lineage: Eukaryota; Metazoa; Chordata; Actinopteri; Spariformes; Sparidae. The record is from RefSeq and is a predicted model, not a curated record. The transcript is spliced from 3 exons.
GCAUCGUGGUAGCUAUUGCAUUGGGGUAGAGCCAAAAACACAUCAGCCGCCUGUAAGGCCGUAGCCUGCUGCCGAAAGCACUACACUGCUCUGAAGAUCAAAUCAGAAUACCAACCAGGAAUUUCUGGCUUUCUUUCUGACGUAACUCUCAGUCAUGCACCACUGUACCUUGAAAGUGACCGCUGAAGAAUGUUGAUUUGAAAAGGUUGUAAUGGGUUUUUCCUUUCUAUUCUGAGGCAACUUUCCACCAUCUAUGUACAGACUGUUUCCCUGACAGAAGGUGCUCUCAGCUGUCCACAGCCUAUUCAUCACUGCAACAGGCAGGCUGACUUAAUGUCUGCUAGCUCCGCAGAGAGACAGAUGUGAUGACGGAGCACACGGUUGGCUCGGGCAGCAGCACACACUGGGUGUUUCGCUGCCUUCUCUGGCUGAAAGUGUCAACCCUGUUCCACCUCUGGAUUCUGGAGGAACAACUGCACAUCACUGCAACAAGAGUUGGGAGUUCCCCCAAUCGAGGUCUGACAGAUGCUCAUCAGCUCCAUGCUCAUCUUCACAGCAAAAGACAACGCAUUGCUGAGUCAAACAACUUCCCCUGCCGGCACAGAGACAAUACACACAGCAUCUAAUCACACCAGAAGCUGCUGUCAAAUGUGCCAACAAGGUGGCUCAUUGUUAUAAAUGGAUGCUGAAGAUUUUGGCUCGGUGUGAUUCUCUCAGAGGCGUCCACCUUCAUCGUCUUUGUCAGCAGGUCGACGAAGCUGUCUGAGUCACACGGCAUCAGCACAGGCAUCUUCUCC